UACGAAGGGGGCUAGCGUUGCUCGGAAUCACUGGGCGUAAAGCGCAUGUAGGCGGAUCGUUAAGUCGGGGGUGAAAUCCUGGAGCUCAACUCCAGAACUGCCUUUGAUACUGGCGAUCUUGAAUCCGGGAGAGGUGAGUGGAACUCCGAGUGUAGAGGUGAAAUUCGUAGAUAUUCGGAAGAACACCAGUGGCGAAGGCGGCUCACUGGCCCGGUACUGACGCUGAGGUGCGAAAGCGUGGGGAGCAAACAGG
RNAcentral lists this ribosomal RNA (253 nucleotides) under uncultured bacterium. RNAcentral describes it as "partial 16S ribosomal RNA". It matches the Rfam family "Bacterial small subunit ribosomal RNA", at positions 524 to 776 of the family's 1533-position model. The record is from RNAcentral.